Long non-coding RNA from Peromyscus eremicus (cactus mouse), 6306 nucleotides. RefSeq lists it as uncharacterized. NCBI's taxonomy places the organism in Eukaryota, Metazoa, Chordata, Mammalia, Rodentia, Cricetidae. The record is from RefSeq and is a predicted model, not a curated record. The transcript is spliced from 4 exons.
UUCCCUGUGGACCAUACUCACUAUGGGGGACACGGGGGCCCAUGGCAGGGUUCAGGGGAAGCUGGGGGCCUGGCACCCAGGGCACAGCUCUGUUCAUCCAGCUCCUCUCCUGACUCACGGGAAAUGCAGAGGAAAAGGGGGCGCCAGACACCUGAAGGGAACAAGAGGGCAGCCAGGGGAGGCAGGAGCUCAGAGCCCAGUUCCAGGGACGUUCCAGACCCACGAUCCAGGACACACAGAACGGGGAUUUGGGCUGAGGGGCCUGAAGACAGCCCUGGAGUCCCACCUUUGCCGCAGGAUGCUGAACAUUCCGAGUGCCCCACUUGCUUCCAGUAUCCGGCUGCAGACCCCAGGGAUGUCCUGGCAUGAGUCAGAGCAGGCACUUGGGGAAUUCGAACCUGACGCUGGAGGGUGCCUGGCGCCCGAACUGGGCGGGGAGCUGAAGCACGCAGGGGCUCCCCCUUCAGCAUCUCUGCAGGGGAGUCCAGGAGCCAGAUCAGAUGCCUCCCUGCGACCCCGGAGCCCCGUCACAGCCUCGCCCUCCUCUCCUGGGUCGGGGGAUCCUAGUUUUACCCGGCUGAAGUUGAAGGGCUGGAGGCUUCGUGGAGGGACUCUCUAGGACGGCAGGAGGGGAAGCGAUGACGUACUGGUAAAAAACCCCGGGAUUGUCCUCUUGAAAGAUCAUCUGAGGAGAGAAGAUACAAAUAAACGUCUGGGGUGAGGAGAGGGGCGUAGGCCACAUCUCUCCCCGACGUGACCCCGCUGCUCUACCCUCGGGGGCCUCCCCCCUACAGUCCAGUGCCCCACCGCCCGCCUCAGGCUCACAUAGACAUCCACAGGCUCGGUGGUGGGGCCCUCGGCUGCCAUGCUCUCCCCCUUGCCUUCCUCCCGAGGAGGACGGCUGUACUGGAAGACAGUCCCGACGGCCGAAUAGGACCCGGGGGGGUCCACUGCCCAGUUUCCGUUGAUAAUGGAGCGGCCCCCAGGCCCUCGAAGUGCUGGAAGACAGAAACCUGAGCUGAGUGACCGUGGUAAUUGGAACUGGGUCGGAGCUGGGAAAUCUGAAGGCGGGAGGCUCCCGCAGGGAUCCACAGUAUCUUCUGAUAGCCCAAGGGGCCCCCUCGCUCCGUGAGGUUUCCCGAAACGAGCUGACAGGCAGAGCCGUCACCGCCACAGACCCCACAGCCAUCCGGACGCCUGCCAGAGCCAAGGAUCCCAUCACAGCCGGGGCUCUGGGGAAAGUGAGGCAGCGUCCUGCCACACAAAUGUCUAGGGAUCCAGGCUGACACAGGGUCCCAUCCUGGACCUUUUCGGUGUGACGGACAUAGAACCGGAAGCCACGGGGACGGCAGUUCAGCUCACAGCGCUGGGAACCCUGAACUAAGGGAUGAGAUAGAAGAUAGCCGGGGUCCCUAAAGGAGGAGGCCCUCAGAGCCCUGGCGGCCAUCUGCCUUAUUACAUGGGGGCAUCCUGAAGCUGCUGUGGAAGGAGGGGCAAUUUCCCAGGCUGGGGGUUUUUAUGUUUCUUGUUUUUGUUAUGCUAUAUGGCCUCAAGGUUAUGAAUUUUGCUGAUUCUCCUACCUCAUUCUCCUAAAAAGGGGGAAGUUCUGCACCUGACCAUCAAAAAGGAUUUUUUGUUGUUUAGUUUUAUGUGUGUAUAGGAGUGGGAUGCUCAUGUGGGAGUCAGGACAAUCUGUAGGAGUGGGUUCUCUCCUUCCAUCGUGGGUCUGGAGACCAAACUCAGGUCAUCAGGCUUGAGGCAAGCUCCUUUACCCACUGAGCCAUCCUACCUUUCCUCAAAAGGGUUUUUGACCCCUGUGAUUAUGAGUUCAUAGCCCAUGAAGGUUUGUCUUGGUGUCAAGCUGACAUAGGCCCAAAUCCGAGUGGACAGGAACUUGGGAGCAACUGAUAUGAUACCAUGAAUACCCUGCUGGGACCAGUGAACUGAUCACAUUCGCAUCCCCUCCUGGAUCACAGCCAACAGGCAUCUCUACAGCUCCCCCUCCCAGCCCGCCUCCUGUCCUGACCACCCACCCAUGACUAUCUAAAAGCUCCUCCCUUCUCUAGGCUAUUGCUGAGACUCUAAGACACAGGAGGAAGAGGGGGGCCACCCCAACCUGAGUCAGCCCAGCCAGGGGGACGAGAAACUGCACCUUCAGUGAAGGGCUCCCACUGGUACAGCUGGCCCAUGAAUUCCUGGGAGUCAAAGGCGGCACACUGCAGGGCCCGGGGGUCUGGCUGCUCAGGGGGGCAAGGCUGAGGAGGCAGAGACACAGGCAUCAGGCAGGGCUGGAGAGGAAAACUGGGGUGCGGGCCAGCUCCACAGAACACCACCCUUGUGUCCGAGUCCACAAGCUGAGGACUCGGGUCCGGGGACAUCCUUGGAAGCCCAGGCCAGGAGACCCAGAGAAGAGCUCACCUCUUGGCUACAGGCUCUCAUCUGCUCACUUUCUCCAGAACACUUUGGAACAGGGCUACUGGGAGCAAAAAGGCUCCAGAGGGGGCUGGAGUCUCUUGUCAGGGGCAGCCAGCCAUCUGGGGACCUGUGAGAACUCCCUCGGGGUCUCCAGUGCCCCCUGCUCUGCUGGCCUCCACUCCGAGGCACAGACGGUAAAGGAUGAGGGCGUCGCCCUGCUCCCUGGGGACUGUUCCAACUGCGAGAGGAGGUUGGCAUUCGUGGCCCAGGGGAUCCCUGGGAAGACCUACUGUCUCCAAAGGAGGAUGUGGGUGAGGGGAUCUCUGUGUCAGAGGGAGCAGGACUGCUUCUGGGGGACACCUCCGUCUGAGCACUUCCAGGCCCUGGGGUUUCAGCGGGGGGAGAGUGGGGGUCGAUAUGCAGUUCAGGAAGCGGCGUGUGAGGGCUGUGGUUUGCAGAGGCCUGCUCUGUGCUUGGAGGCCGGGAUGGAAGGGUCUCAUCCCCUGUAGAGGAGUUCUUGGGUUGCUCAGGUCUGCGGGGGUGCCUGCGGCUCCGGUGCAGUGGCAAGGCAAAAGGCACUCUCCCAUAACCAAACAUCCCUGGCUUGAUCGGGUCUCGAACCCGGGACCUGAGAGGAUGAUGCAGACUUAGAGUCAUCUCUUAGCCUGUCUCCCCAGUCCCUGUCCUGAAAGAUCAGCCUGCAGAGGUGAAGCCCCCUUGCCCCUUUCUGUUAACCCCACCCCUCCCUGUUCUGCUCUGCCCUCCUCGGGGCCUCACCUCUGGGCCCCUGGAGUCCCUUCAGGCUUCUCUCUCCCCAGCUGGGAAGCAGGACCUUGAAGAGGAACACCCCUUCCCCGAGGCUGUGGCCUGUACAGGGACUGGGGGUCCCGGGGAGUCUGGGGUCUGGGCCGGAGGGCUUCUGGAUGUCUUGGGGGUCGGGGAGGGAGGGAUAGGCUUGGGUGCAGGUCACAAGUUCGGCUCCUUCGCUGCACCCCCACCCCACAAGGCUGGGAGCAGGGGGCCCACCGGCCCCAAUGUCCCCAGAGGCCCUCAGGGGCCUGGCCCUCCUCUGAUGGUGUCUGAAGAGAAGGUCCAAACAGCUACAGAGGGGGAAAGGUCAGAAUUAGUGUCAAGGUUCAAGGGUUGUUAGUUGUCCAAGGUCACAUGUACUGGUAGGGUCGGACUCCAGCCUUUUCCGUGUUAUUUAACUAAAAGAGGGCAUUGGCAGGGAGACUGGGUGGGCCAAGCCACGGGGCUCAAGUCUCCCAGCGGGGACAGGGGAGGCCAGGGCAGAGCAGAGGGACCCUGCGCAGGGUGGCAGUGGCUUCCUUGGUGAGGGCUCACCUCCUGAUGCCGGCCGAGCUGAAGGAGAGGCAGCAGCGGCAUCACACACAGCCAGAGCCUGCACAGCAAGGGGUGGGGACAUCAGACGGAGCCAGAAAUGUUACGCCAUUACCCACCCCCACCCAGGCUCCCCACGGCCUGGGUCGCCAACUUCUCAGGAAGCACCAGUUCCUGGUCACUUUCCAGGCCCCUUCUAACAAUCCCUUACCCUCUCUUCUUCUCUUCUUUUGGUUUUUCAAGACAGGAUUUCUCUGUGGAGCCCUGGCUGUCCUGGAACUCUCUCUGUAGGCCAGGCUAGCCUCGCACUCAAAGAGAUCCACCUGCCUCUGCCCCUGGAGUUUAAGGCACGUGCCACCACUGCCCGGCCCGUUCCUGCUCUUACUGUUAGAGACAGAGCUGUUCCUCUGCACCACGGCCCUUGAUCUUACCUGCCCAGCCAGGUCUCCAUUGCUCUUCCCUUGACUGUCCCCGGGCUAGGGGACAGGGGACAGGAUAGCUACUCUGGCAUCUGGGCACGGAGGGUACUCUGAGGAGGAAGAAGCAUCGUGGUUACCCCUCCAGAUAGCCGGGAGACUGAAGGGUUGUCUCGGCACAGCGCCAGCGGAGUGGAGGAGAAGACUGGUCCACCCUUUAGGACCUAAGGGUGGGAGCAAUAAGGAACGCUGUCUUUGCCAUCUGCUGAGGCGAGGGGGGAGGGUGGGGGUCUGACCUCAGCCUUCGAGUUCAACUUAGUCCCUCCCUGCGGCCCAAGACAGGCUUAGCUCCUCUGGAGGCCUGAGGAGGCGCAGUGCUCAGCCAGCUCGAACCAGGAGGGUCUCUCUCCCAGAGCUACUGGACCUAGAGGAGGCAGGCUAUGCCAGGCGCCCCCGUGAGGGGCCAGCCAGAGGGCCCUUGGCACCAGGUGUGGGGGCAAAAGCCUUAAUCCCACCCUUUGGGAUGGGGAGCAAGAGGAUCAGGAGUUCAAGGCCAGCCUGGCUGACAGGAGAUCCCUACCUCAAAAAAACAAAACAAAACAAAACUAACCUCCCCCUCCCCUGCUCCCCCCAAAAUAAUAAAACAAAACAAAAAACCCGAGUUUUUGUUUCCUACCUCUCCCAGGGCUUCCUUCCCCUCUUAGCUAAAGCUCCUUAUGAAGGAACAGUCAGGCGCAUCUGGCCUACCACAGGCACUUUUUUGUCCAAGGGAUAAACUAAGUGGGCUAAUGGCUUCAUCUCUAGAGAGAAGGCAGUGGCUUAGCCUCCCUGUGGGUGCCAGCGUCCACUAGGCAUUGGCUCAUGGCGACUUAGUUCAUGUACAGCUAGUUUUCUUCUUUUUAUUUUUUCUUCCGAUGCUCAGCCAAAAUGGCUGGGCCCCUCGGAAGGCCAUAGCUGCUCAGACUUCCCAGCCACCAGCUUCUCCUUCUGGUCUACCCGGGAAGUCCACCCCGAAGUCUAACCUUGAACACUGGGUAGCGAGGGGCUUCCAUACCCUGUCCUCAAAGUCUGUCUCUCCCGACUCCCUGCCCUCCAGCCCCUUCUUCUCUCUGAGGCCCUUCCCACCCACACCCAUCAUCCCAUCUCAGUUCUGCUUUCCAGGAAAAACACUGUUUCUGUUGGAUCUGAAUGGCAGGCACCACCAGAGGAAUCCGAGGAUCCGGCCAAGGUAGGCCAGCUCAGGGCAGGCAAAGGACGAGGGAACUAAAUAAAGCAGGGUCCUGCUCCCUCCCACUCCCCAGGACCCCAGGACCUGGGAAUUUGAAGAAGGAAACAAGGUGACUGAGCCCUCCCCUUCCCCUUGCUGGGCCAGCCACUGAGGCCCACAACAGCCCUGUUGGAACAGGAGCCAUGUUCAAGCCACCCAUCCACCGUCUACCUGCCUGCCUUAGGCUGGAAGGGGUGAUGGGCACAACCUGUCUCUUCUCCGAUGCUGGUCCCCUUGGCACCUCCCUCUGCGUCUCUCUGCUCCCCCAGGUCUGUCUCUGCUGCCUCUCGUGGUCUACCCAGUACACAUAAUCCUGUCCUGAGCUGGCUUUGGCAGCUCUCUGGAGAAGUGAGGGGUGGGGGGUGACGAGAGCUCCUGGGGCCAGGGCCAGGCCUGGCUCCCUCUCUGGAAAAGUCCACCCCACCCUCCCCUGCAUAGGGGAGCAGGCGCCAUGUAUGCUUGUUGUCCCUUUUCACACCCAGGGUGAGGAAGACAGAAGUUGGAGGUGGGCACCCCCGAAGUCAAGGUGGACCCUGCCUCUCCCGACAGGCUGAGCUGUGCGAGGAGCACUCACCCGCGUCCCUCCCAGACACCCUGUCCCUGCGGUCCCGGAGUGCAGGCGUCGGGGCGCAUCCUCCCGAAGCCCCGCGGGCGGGGAGAAGCGGGCGGCGCUGGCGUGCAGGGAGGUCCCGUAUGUUUUCCAACUUCACUAUGUGACUUAACAGGAAUCUUGGCUCAAGCCCUCGCCCGGGUGAUGGGACCAGACCCCCUCCCCAGGAAUUCGCCCCAGGGUCCGCUGUUCCGUGACCAUCAGAGCCCAGGCGGGGGUCGGGGAGGCUCUACCUUCUCUGCGCCCGCUCUCUCCAG